AUUUUAUAAAAUCCCACUUCGUGUGCUUGCACUUACUCUUGUUUUCCCUCUCCCCUCCCCUCCCUUGCAAGGUCUCAGUUUGCAAGGAGUUUUUAUCCUAAGGACUCCAAGGAGCUUUUAUCCUAAGUCAGGAAAGAAAUUGGCCAAAAUGCAGACAGCUGUAUUUAAUUGUUUUAUUUAUUUACUAUAUUUCUUUACUCUGUGUUAAAGACUUCUGCAUCUAUAACUGAUGAUGUCCUCAGAGAAAACAGGCACGGCUCCAGGUCUGCGUUGUUUUCCUGGCUUGCAUGGACUUUCUCAAGGCAGGGAGUCCCUCGGACACUUCUUUCCAGGCCUCUAAAGGCUACAGAUAUGCAGCACUGUUGUUCUCAGCUAAAGAUAAAUCAGAUGUGAGAAAUUUUUGUGGAAAUGUGUACAGUCCUGGGGGAGAGCAAGUUCGUCAAGGAAAAGGACACCAUUUCCUGUCUGCCUGGAAGUGAUGAAAAGGUCCCCCCCUGUCCCUCGGCACACAUGAGCACACAUGCUGCGUUUGAAAUCGGGGAACAGCCACCUCAGUAAAGACGAGGCACGUAGGCAUUGACAGUUCCAUCAGGAACCUUUCAUAAACACCUCGUUAUUAUCUGCAGUCAUUGCCACUUGGUCUGGAUGCAGAGCUGCCAAAGGAUUCAGAGGAACUCUGUCAGCAACCUGCCAGUGUUGUCUCAGGAUUUCAGUGCUAUCAGUUUUGAUUAAAGCAGUAUCUUCUGCAUUUGUUUCCCUAAAUGUUUUACUACCUAAUGUAACAAACACAGAUAGAUGUUCUUGGCUCUCGUCAAGAACAAAAAAAUAAAAUUAAUAAAAUCUGUGCA
RNAcentral lists this long non-coding RNA (848 nucleotides) under Anser brachyrhynchus (Pink-footed goose). RNAcentral's name for it is "lncRNA (ENSABRG00000006217.1)". Lineage: Eukaryota; Metazoa; Chordata; Aves; Anseriformes; Anatidae. The record is from RNAcentral.